RNAcentral lists this ribosomal RNA (27 nucleotides) under Melica scabrosa. RNAcentral's name for it is "partial 26S ribosomal RNA". Lineage: Eukaryota; Viridiplantae; Streptophyta; Magnoliopsida; Poales; Poaceae. The record is from RNAcentral.
UUAGAGAGUCAGAACACACUCCCAGGC